This 924-nucleotide ribosomal RNA is filed under the name bacterium enrichment culture clone L55B-71. Its description in RNAcentral is "bacterial SSU rRNA". It matches the Rfam family "Bacterial small subunit ribosomal RNA", at positions 8 to 916 of the family's 1533-position model. The record is from RNAcentral.
AGAGUUUGAUCCUGGCUCAGGGCUAACGCUGGCGGCGUGUCUUAGCCAUGCAAGUCGAGCGGACUUAUGGGGUAACUUAUAAGUCAGCGGCGGACGGCGGAGUAACACGUAGCUAACCUACCCUCUGGACGGGGAUAACCUACCGAAAGGUGGGCUAAUACCCGAUGUAGUCAUCCUGUAUAGGGGUGAUGAAAGGUGGGCUUCUGUUUACAAGCUCAUGCUGGAGGAGGGGGCUGCGGCCUAUCAGGUAGUUGGUAGGGUAAUAGCCUACCAAGCCGAUGACGGGUAGCCGGCCUGAGAGGGUGACCGGCCCGAGGGGCACUGAGAUACGGGUCCCACUCCUACGGGAGGCAGCAGGCUAGAAAUUUGGGCAAUGGGGGAAACCCUGACCCAGUGACGCCGCGUGCAGGAAGGAGCCCUUCGGGGUGUAAACUGCUGUCGUGUAGGGAGAAGGGUACUAAGGUGAACAAUCUUAGUACUUGACGGUACUACAGGAGGAAGCCCAGGCUAACCUCGUGCCAGCAGCCGCGGUAAUACGGGGUGGGCGAGCGUUGCCCGGAAUUACUGGGUUUAAAGGGGGUGUAGGCGGUCUGGAUAGUCGGGUGUGUAAUGCAAUCGCUCAACGAUUGAGCUGCAUCUGAUACUUCCAGGCUAGAGGGCGGUAGAGGAGAGCGGAACUCCCGGUGUAGCGGUGGAAUGCGUAGAUAUCGGGAGGAACGCCGGUGGCGAAGGCGGCUCUCUGGGCCGUUCCUGACGCUGAGGCCCGAAAGCUGGGGGAGCGAAAGGGAUUAGAUACCCCUGUAGUCCCAGCCGUAAACGAUGGGCACUAGGUGUACCUUUUAACGGAGGUAUACCGUCGGGAAACCAAUAAGUGCCCCACCUGGGGAGUACGCCCGCAAGGGUGAAACUCAAAUGAAUUGACGG